Molecule: ribosomal RNA, 301 nt
Filed under: uncultured bacterium
Lineage: Bacteria
Description: partial 16S ribosomal RNA
Rfam family: Bacterial small subunit ribosomal RNA
Source: RNAcentral
CAGUAGCCACGGUAAUACGGAGGGUGCAAGCGUUAUCCGGAUUUAUUGGGUUUAAAGGGUCCGUAGGCGGAUCCGUAAGUCAGUGGUGAAAUCUCACAGCUUAACUGUGAAACUGCCAUUGAUACUGCAGGUCUUGAGUAAAUUUGAAGUGGCUGGAAUAAGUAGUGUAGCGGUGAAAUGCAUAGAUAUUACUUAGAACACCAAUUGCGAAGGCAGGUCACUAAGAUUUAACUGACGCUGAUGGACGAAAGCGUGGGGAGCGAACAGGAUUAGAUACCCCCGUAGUCCCUGUCUCUUAUAC